CAGUCGCCGCGGUAAUACGUAGGUGGCAAGCGUUGUCCGGAAUUAUUGGGCGUAAAGGGCUCGCAGGCGGUUUCUUAAGUCUGAUGUGAAAGCCCCCGGCUCAACCGGGGAGGGUCAUUGGAAACUGGGAAACUUGAGUGCAGAAGAGGAGAGUGGAAUUCCACGUGUAGCGGUGAAAUGCGUAGAGAUGUGGAGGAACACCAGUGGCGAAGGCGACUCUCUGGUCUGUAACUGGCGCUGAGGAGCGAAAGCGUGGGGAGCGAACAGGAUUAGAUACCCCCGUAGUCCCUGUCUCUUAUAC
This 301-nucleotide ribosomal RNA is filed under the name uncultured bacterium. RNAcentral's name for it is "partial 16S ribosomal RNA". It matches the Rfam family "Bacterial small subunit ribosomal RNA", at positions 509 to 807 of the family's 1533-position model. The record is from RNAcentral.